AGGCAGGAGAAUCGCUUGAACUCAAGAGGUAGAGGUUGCCGUGAGCCGAGACUGCACUUCUGCUCUCCAGCAUAGGACACAGAGCAAGACUUCAUCUCAAAAAUGAAAACAAGCAAACUAAAAAACUCUUCCAGCUUUUUCGAAGGCACAUUUAGAUCCAUGGCUGUGGACAAUCUAAAGCAUGUUCUGCUCUGUGCAGCCUAUGCAGCUACAAAAAAACGAAAUUGCUGGAGUUUGGCAACAUAACUUUCAGGUUCCCUUUUAAAUAGCUAAGUCAGCCUUGCAAAGAGUCUACUGGGACAGUAUGAAUGGAAAACUGAAGGGAACUCACUCGAUUUUUUAGGCCACACUGCAUUUUAAAGCUUAAGUUAUUUGAGUCAUCUUCUCCAUCAUCUAAUUUGCAUGUGUGCUCAAGGAUGCGGGAUACCUGGCAACAUCAACUUCCUAAAUUGUUAAUGUUGGUUGGUGUCAAACAAAAUCUGAUCUCGAAGCUGUUUGGCUUCACUUGGAUUUGAAGGGACUGUUUGUUCAAAGCUCAUGUUCUAAACCUGUUUGCGAUUUUUAUCUAAAGUCAGAUUGCCAUGGUUUCAGCACAUUCCAGUUUACUUAGCAAAAUUCGGCCCUUGUGAAAUUGGCUGCAAAUGAAGUACCUAAUUCCAAUUUUAGGCAUAAUCUGAUUAGUACUUUUCAUAUUAUAAUAAUGAGCAGUGAAUACUCAGCAUUUAAAAAAUUUUGGCUCAGAAUGAAAACCAAGCUCUUUCCACUUCAUCAUUCUGUACCUUUCCAAAAAGAGAGGAUGGCUUUUGAGGUAUAUUGCCAUACAACACCCUUAUUAACAGGCUGUUGCUUGUUACAAUUUACAUAAACCAAGUGUGCAUCCCUCUGGUAUAUAUCCCAAAACACUCAACAACUUCAGUGAAUUUAUCCCAACCAACGAGCAUGUUGAAUUUUUUUUUUCUUUUUGGUAUUUUCAGGGUGAAAUAUGUGACUGUGCUAGCAAACACGCCCAUGCCAUCUGUUGGGUUGGGAGGAAGGCAGUUUCUAAGAACAAUUAAGUUUAGUUCUGGGCGUUCAGUUCGAGAGAGUCACAGUCCACCCAGUUGUGAAAAGAAACAAAUUCUGUUCAUUUUAUUCUCUCACUUGUUCCCUCUCUCUGCAACACACACUGUACUUCUUGCUAACAAGGCGCUCAGCUCUCUCUCAUCUCCACCACCUCGUCCUUCACGCUUCACACUUUCCUUCUUUUUUUCUCUCUUUCUUUGGCUCCUGGUUGGCUCUGACCAUCCCUCCAAUAUCCAUCUUAGGUGGAUUAGCAACAGGCCGUCUGGCUGAGCCGGCUCUCAGAAGGGCUCUCAGGGUGAUCGCCUACGAUUAUUGGGAGGUACCUCAGUUAUGAACCUGAAGAUGGGUGAGGAAAAUGUGUUACUUUUUCUCUCCUACGGCAUCUAGUUUUAGACCUCCCAUUUUGGAUGAAAUCAGAUCUUAAAGAUCUAGCGUCUACUUUCCUCUGAGCGCCGUGCUCUUCAGGUUGCUGAAUUCUUCAGGAAUCCAGAGUCUCGCUGUGUCGCCCAGGCUGGAGUGCAGUGUAGCCAGGAUGGUCUCGAUCUCCUGACCUCGUGAUCCGCCCGCCUUGGCCUCCCAAAGUGCUGGGAUUACAUGGACACGCGUUUCUAAAGGCUCCCCUCGUGACCCUGCUGGACUGCCAGGGUUGAAAAGCUGCUGCGCUGGUGCACACAUAAAUGCCUCACCUGCUGGAUAAGCAGUGCCAAGGCACGGAGAAGAAAGGCCUUCCUGAGAAGAGGAACUCAGCAGCCCCUUGAGCACGUGCCAUGAAUCCUCAAAGAGCAUUUCCCCAUCACACACAUCUCCACGAGAUGCUGGAACUCAAAGAUGGUAUGGUGAGCCGGCAUCAGCCACGCAGAUGAGGACGUCAGAGCAACAAGGCAGAUGCAACGUGGGUCUCUGAAUGAACAUGGAGGAGGAGCACUUCCCACCUGCCUCAGACCACCUGGCUACCUCUUUCUGUACUGUUGGGUGAGAGAGAAAUAAACUUCCUUUGGUUUGAGCUGC
Macaca mulatta (Rhesus monkey) is the source of this 2070-nucleotide non-coding RNA. NCBI's taxonomy places the organism in Eukaryota, Metazoa, Chordata, Mammalia, Primates, Cercopithecidae. The record is from RefSeq and is a predicted model, not a curated record.